GUGAACGCUGGCGGUAGGCCUAACACCUGCAAGUCGAACGGCAGCACAGUAAGCGCUUGCUCUUACGGGUGGCGAGUGGCGGACGGGUGAGGAAUACAUCGGAAUCUACUUUUUCGUGGGGGAUAACGUAGGGAAACUUACGCUAAUACCGCAUACGACCUACGGGUGAAAGCAGGGGAUCUUCGGACCUUGCGCGAUUGAAUGAGCCGAUGUCGGAUUAGCUAGUUGGCGGGGUAAAGGCCCACCAAGGCGACGAUCCGUAGCUGGUCUGAGAGGAUGAUCAGCCACACUGGAACUGAGACACGGUCCAGACUCCUACGGGAGGCAGCAGUGGGGAAUAUUGGACAAUGGGCGCAAGCCUGAUCCAGCCAUACCGCGUGGGUGAAGAAGGCCUUCGGGUUGUAAAGCCCUUUUGUUGGGAAAGAAAAGCAGCAGGUUAAUACCCCGCUGUUCUGACGGUACCCAAAGAAUAAGCACCGGCUAACUUCGU
Molecule: ribosomal RNA, 490 nt
Filed under: uncultured bacterium
Lineage: Bacteria
Description: partial 16S ribosomal RNA
Rfam family: Bacterial small subunit ribosomal RNA
Source: RNAcentral